This 67-nucleotide small RNA is filed under the name Cytobacillus firmus. Its description in RNAcentral is "Bacillus firmus Bacillaceae-1 RNA". It matches the Rfam family "Bacillaceae-1 RNA". RNAcentral also lists the same sequence under 1 other name. Lineage: Bacteria; Bacillati; Bacillota; Bacilli; Caryophanales; Bacillaceae. The record is from RNAcentral.
UACAAAGGAACAUAGACUAAGAACGCCACUUCCUUUGGCAACGUCUGCAUGGCCCCUAUCCUGGGGG